This 253-nucleotide ribosomal RNA is filed under the name uncultured bacterium. Its description in RNAcentral is "partial 16S ribosomal RNA". It matches the Rfam family "Bacterial small subunit ribosomal RNA", at positions 524 to 776 of the family's 1533-position model. The record is from RNAcentral.
UACGUAGGCAGCGAGCGUUAUCCGGAGUUACUGGGCGUAAAGGGCGUGUAGGCGGUUCGUUAAGUCUGGCGUGAAAGCUCUCGGCUAAACCGGGAGAGGUCGUUGGAUACUGGCAAACUAGAGGACGGUAGAGGCGUGUGGAAUUCCGGGUGUAGUGGUGAAAUGCGUAGAGAUCCGGAGGAACACCAGUGGCGAAGGCGACACGCUGGGCCGUACCUGACACUGAUGCGCGACAGCAUGGGGAGCAAACAGG